Molecule: ribosomal RNA, 240 nt
Filed under: uncultured bacterium
Lineage: Bacteria
Description: partial 16S ribosomal RNA
Rfam family: Bacterial small subunit ribosomal RNA
Source: RNAcentral
GAUCCUGGCUCAGGAUGAACGCUAACUACAGGCUUAACACAUGCAAGUCGAGGGGAAACGACAUCGAAAGCUUGCUUUUGAUGGGCGUCGACCGGCGCACGGGUGAGUAACGCGUAUCCAACCUGCCCAUCACUUGGGAAUAACCUUGCGAAAGUAAGACUAAUGCCCAAUGACAUCCCACGAAGGCAUCCGAAUGGGAUUAAAGAUUCAUCGGUGAUGGGUGGGGAUGCGUCUGAUUAG